Xiphophorus hellerii (green swordtail) is the source of this 3126-nucleotide long non-coding RNA. RefSeq lists it as uncharacterized. The transcript is spliced from 2 exons. The record is from RefSeq and is a predicted model, not a curated record. Lineage: Eukaryota; Metazoa; Chordata; Actinopteri; Cyprinodontiformes; Poeciliidae.
CAAAAAGUAGAAUUUUUUUCCAGCUAGAUCAACAAAUGAUGCAACAAUAGAACCACGUGAAAAAGGUCAAUGUUAAUGUUUAGAAAGUUUUUAAUAACAAUGUGCCCAUUUCUCAAGAAUAAACUAAUUUAGAUCAGUUUGGAGUUGAUAUUUAGACAGCAGGCUCCUCUGGGCGCGGUGCCCUGCAUGUUUUAGACAUUUCUCUGCUCCUGAUUCAGCCUGUUAAUCUGCCAUCAGUAGAUUCAGGUGAGCUGAAGCAGAGAAACAUGUCAAAUAGAGGAGGUCAGGUCCAGUGGACCCACUGCCAUGCUGCUACUUUUAGAAACAUUUCUUCUCCAACACACCUGAAUCAAAUGAAUGGCUCGUUACCACGCCUCUGUCUUUGGCCUUAUUAAGGUAAUAAUAACUUAAUAAUGUUUCACACAUAACUGUUUUUGUUGUUACUGUAUGCCAUUGGUUAUAAGAAAAUGACAGAAAAAAAUUAGUUGGUAAGAAAACAAAUGCAUUUUAUUGAAUGUUGCAUUCAAUAUUUACUGAAAAUGAAGACAAGGAUGUAGUUUGCAGAUUUAUGACAAAAUAAUAUUUGUUCCAUUGGUGCCCUUCUGUUAUGGAUUUUCAAAGCAGAUAUUUCACCAAAACCAAGAUAACUGUUAAAACUGAGCUUUUCAUUAAAUUUAUAGUUAUUUUUAUGUAAUAUUUGUCCAAAGCUGUGGAAGCGCCAAAGAGCCACAUGAGGUGUGGAGCCGGCGUUGUCAACCAUUGAGAACGAUGAGAUGAACCCACAACAAUAACAGGAAGACUUUCAUUACGUUCCUUGGUUUCCUUCACGGCUUUGGAGAGCAGAACAAGUCACCGUCCAGGAAUAUUCUCUUUCUUAUCUGACAUACCUCACUUUUUGAAAAGGACUAAAAAAACGAAUCUUACUCAGUUAUGAAAACACUGAAACAGUGACUGCCACAGCAUUGAACCAGAAGUUCAGUUUAGUUGGUGUUUUUGAUUUGAACUCUGAACUUGAGCCAUUUUAGAAGAUCUUUCAUCUGGAUAAGAAGGACUUUUAUCUUUUAUCUCACUCAUAUGCUUGGCUAGACUGAAAUAGAUUCUUAUUAGACUGAACGGCAUAAAACGGUCAUGCUAUGCCUUUAUUUUCCUCAAUGAAAUAGAUUAUAUUUUAUUUUUCAAUGAUUGGAUACAACCCUCUAAGUUUUGAACAACACAUGGAGUCAGAGUGACCUGUUCUUUGUAUUUGCUUUGCUAAUUCUCACAGGUUUGCCAAUCUGCUGUAGACGUUUUGAUCUCUUUGGCCAGACGUUGUUUCCAGCCACUGCAUUUUGUUCUGUCUGCCUCUGUGUGCUAAGAUGCACAAUACCCCCAGAAGCAUUAGACACCGCUCCAAAUAAUUUAAUUGAAAUGGUCUUAAUACAAUUCCAAGGGUAUGCAUUUAAAAUAAAGCACCCAGGCAUUGCUUCUACAAACAUUUGGUUAAGAAUGGCUCAUGAUCAGGAGUUCAGUGGACUUCAGCGUGGUUCCAGCAUCCAGACGUUUCAUCACUAACUACAAUCCAAAGGGCAGUGAUAUUUUAGAGUGCACACUCCAGCUGCACUAUAAAACAAUGAAAGGUGACCUGUGAAGUGACAAAUCACACCUCUCUCUCCUUAGUAAUUUUGAGCCUGGGUGAACCAGUUGUCAGGUAAAUGUAACAACUUUAGAAAAUGUGCUUUUAUUUUUUAUUAUUAUAAUGUUUGAAAUUUCACCAAAUCCUGAUUAACACUGAAGAAUCCUAUUUCUUUCUUAUAUUUUAAGAAUAUUAUUAUUUUACUUAUUUUGAUAAGCACUAGUACCUGUACUGUCACUUUAAGAGAUUGUCUUAUGACAUCAGCACUGUAUUAUCUUCAGUUGGCGCUAGGCUGCCUGAGAAGAGGUAGGAAAUUUUCUUUGCUUGUGUUUACUCUCGCGUUUUAUGAAAUAUAUAAAAUAAUUGUAAGUGCAUGCAGCUGUGAAUGUUAAUUUGUUUUAACACAUACAGAGGAGUAUUCUUUUUGACAAGUUAAGAAUUUUUUUCUUAAAUGUUAGAGCAGAUAUUGUUGUUAGUUAGUCACAGGGUUUCUCCAUGUGUUUGUCUGCUAGGGGAAUUCCGACUCCUGUGAAUGGAAGAGCUGCAUCUUAAAGGGCAUUUUUAUUUCUGUUUGUGCAGGCCUCUGCCAGCAACCUGCAUUAAAGAACAACCAACAACUCCUGUGGUCUGACUCCCUUCUCCAUCUGAACACAACGCAGAACACAUCAAGGUUAACCGACUGUAUAAGACUAGGAUAUCAGAAAAGAACACUAAUAGUAUACACCGGUUACAUAAACAACAUAACCCUGAAUGCAAUGUGUCAAGUGCAACAUUAGGUGCAGAGAGGAGCGUAAUGAGGGGCUGUUUUCAGAGGUUGGUUUUACUGCUUGGUUCCAUUACAAGGAGCAAUUUUAAUAUUUCAUCACAGUCAUUUUAGACAGUUUCAUGACUCUUAAGACAGGGCCAGGAUGGACUUUCCUGUUUCAAUAUGACUCAUUGCACCAAAGGAGCAUCUGAAUGGGUUUGUUCAUUGUUCAUGUUGUCUGGCCUCCACAUGUUCUUCACCUGAACCAGUUCCUCCAACAUCAGUAGCUGCGUUUCCAUUGACCAUGAAACUGGGCAAACUGAAAUUCUGAAAAUAUAUUUGCUUUGUGGGAACACGGCAAUUAAAUUUUUUUGAUAAAACGUUUUUCAGUAAGAUCAGAACACUUUCUUCGUAUCACAAUGCACGUGAUCAACAGCUGGAUGUACUACUGGGGAAAACCAUGAAGAAGAAGACAACAGGAAGUGGCCAUUUGUUUUUGUUUUUCAGACAGCGUGCAGCCGGCUCCACCAGCUCUCACAGCAGCUGCAUGGUUCAUAAAAUGUUGUGUGUCUGGAAAAUCACCAGUUUCUGCAAAUUCAAAUUCUAUUGAAGCAGAAUUACCAUUUCAACCAAACAGACCAUAUAUUUUGUAAACCUACAGUUUAUUGUCUCAUAAUGACAUGAGAUCGGUCACACUUAAAAGAUAAAAAGUACCAAUAACUUUUUGUCCCCUGAUCUAAAUAAAAAUCACUGAAAAUCAUGCACGCUA